This 253-nucleotide ribosomal RNA is filed under the name uncultured prokaryote. RNAcentral describes it as "partial 16S ribosomal RNA". It matches the Rfam family "Bacterial small subunit ribosomal RNA", at positions 524 to 776 of the family's 1533-position model. The record is from RNAcentral.
UACGGAGGGUGCAAGCGUUAUCCGGAUUUACUGGGUUUAAAGGGUGCGUAGGCGGGUAGGUAAGUCAGUGGUGAAAUCUUCGAGCUUAACUCGGAAAUUGCCGUUGAUACUAUUUAUCUUGAAUAUCGUUGAGGUUUGCGGAAUAUGUCAUGUAGCGGUGAAAUGCUUAGAUAUGACAUAGAACACCAAUUGCGAAGGCAGCUCACUACACGGUAAUUGACACUGAGGCACGAAAGCGUGGGGAUCAAACAGG